ACUCAAAUGAAUAGACGGGGACCUGCACAAGCAGUGGAGCGUGUGGUUUAAUUCGAGACAAAGCGAAGAACCUCACCUAGGUUUGACAUGUAACUGGAAGCCCGAUGAAAGUCGGGCCCCCUUCGAGGCUGUUACACAGGUGCUGCAUGGCUGUCGUCAGCUCGUGUCGUGAGAUGUUGGGUUAAGUCCCGUAACGAGCGCAACCCCUACGGUCAGUUGUAUCACUCUGGCCGAACUGCCUCCAUACAAGGAGGAGGAAGGCGGGGAUGAUGUCAAGUCAGCAUAGCCCUUACACCUAGGGCUACACACACCCUACAAUGGACCGCUACAACGGGUCGCUAAGCCGCGAGGUAGAGCCAAUCCCUAAAACGGUCCUCAGUUCAGAUUGGAGGCUGCAACUCGCCUCCAUGAAGUCGGAAUUGCUAGUAAUCGCAGAUCAGCAGGCUGCGGUGAAUACGUUCUCAGGUCUUGCACACACCGCCCGU
This 485-nucleotide ribosomal RNA is filed under the name uncultured bacterium. RNAcentral's name for it is "partial 16S ribosomal RNA". It matches the Rfam family "Bacterial small subunit ribosomal RNA", at positions 899 to 1397 of the family's 1533-position model. The record is from RNAcentral.